This is a non-coding RNA of Caligus rogercresseyi, 73 nucleotides long. The record is from the annotation of a GenBank genome assembly. NCBI's taxonomy places the organism in Eukaryota, Metazoa, Arthropoda, Copepoda, Siphonostomatoida, Caligidae.
CGGGCUGUGGCGCAGCCUGGUAGCGCACCUGCUUCGGGAGCAGGGGGUCGGAGGUUCGAAUCUCUCAGCCCGA